GCUGGGCGUGGUGGCACAUGCCUGUAAUCCCAUCAGCUUGGGAAGUGGAGGCAGGAUGAUGGCAAGUUCAAAGCCAGCCUCAGCAAAAGUGAGGCACUAAGCAACUCAGUGAGACCCUGUCUCUA
This 125-nucleotide small RNA is filed under the name Marmota monax (woodchuck). Lineage: Eukaryota; Metazoa; Chordata; Mammalia; Rodentia; Sciuridae. The record is from RNAcentral.